AAAAAAUCUUGGCAGGGGAAAUACCAUGAUCACCAGGCCUCUAGGAGUUCGUUUUUCCAGGGUGAGGUCUGUUUCUUGCACUCUGGGCAUGCUGUGACCCCUGUGAGUUUCCCCAAGUGUGGAAAACUCAACUGUACAAUUUUUUGGCAAUGGGGUUCUGCUUUCUUUUUCUCUGG
This 176-nucleotide small nuclear RNA is filed under the name Crocodylus porosus (Australian saltwater crocodile). RNAcentral describes it as "U1 spliceosomal RNA (ENSCPRG00005003551.1)". It matches the Rfam family "U1 spliceosomal RNA". From Rfam's summary of the family: U1 is a small nuclear RNA (snRNA) component of the spliceosome (involved in pre-mRNA splicing). The record is from RNAcentral. Lineage: Eukaryota; Metazoa; Chordata; Crocodylia; Crocodylidae.